Molecule: ribosomal RNA, 545 nt
Filed under: uncultured bacterium
Lineage: Bacteria
Description: partial 16S ribosomal RNA
Rfam family: Bacterial small subunit ribosomal RNA
Source: RNAcentral
UGGGGAAUAUUGCACAAUGGGCGAAAGCCUGAUGCAGCAACGCCGCGUGUGUGAAGAAGGCCUUCGGGUUGUAAAGCACUUUGUCCGGAAAGAAAUCCUUGGCUCUAAUACAGUCGGGGAUGACGGUACCGGAAGAAUAAGCACCGGCUAACUACGUGCCAGCAGCCGCGGUAAUACGUAGGGUGCAAGCGUUAAUCGGAAUUACUGGGCGUAAAGCGUGCGCAGGCGGUUUGCUAAGACCGAUGUGAAAUCCCCGGGCUCAACCUGGGAACUGCAUUGGUGACUGGCAGGCUAGAGUAUGGCAGAGGGGGGUAGAAUUCCACGUGUAGCAGUGAAAUGCGUAGAGAUGUGGAGGAAUACCGAUGGCGAAGGCAGCCCCCUGGGCCAAUACUGACGCUCAUGCACGAAAGCGUGGGGAGCAAACAGGAUUAGAUACCCCUGGUAGUCCACGCCCUAAACGAUGUCAACUAGUUGUUGGGGGAUUCAUUUCCCUUAGUAACGUAGCUAACGCGUGAAGUUGACCGCCUGGGGAGUACGGUCGCAAG